CCUACGGGCGGCAGCAGUGAGGAAUAUUGGUCAAUGGGCGGAAGCCUGAACCAGCCAAGUAGCGUGCAGGAUGACGGCCCUACGGGUUGUACACUGCUUUUAUACGGGAAUAACGCGCCUUACGUGUAGGGCUUUGCAUGUACCGUAUGAAUAAGGACCGGCUAAUUCCGUGCCAGCAGCCGCGGUAAUACGGAGGGUCCGGGCGUUAUCCGGAUUUAUUGGGGUUAAAGGGAGCGUAGGCCGCAUGUCAAGCGUGCUGUGAAAUGUCCGGGCUCAACCCGGGCCUUGGAGCGCGUAAUGGCUUGGUUGAGUCCGCGGAAAGCAGGCGGAAUUCGUCGUGUAGCGGUGACAUGCUGAGAUAUGACGAAGAACCCCGAUUGCGAAGGCAGCUUGCUGCAGCGGAACUGACGCUGAUGCGCGAAAGCGCGGGUAUCGAACAGGAUUAGAUACCCUUGUAGUC
This 460-nucleotide ribosomal RNA is filed under the name uncultured bacterium. RNAcentral's name for it is "partial 16S ribosomal RNA". It matches the Rfam family "Bacterial small subunit ribosomal RNA", at positions 338 to 795 of the family's 1533-position model. The record is from RNAcentral.